RNAcentral lists this unclassified non-coding RNA (1758 nucleotides) under Leishmania donovani. RNAcentral's name for it is "gene:LdHU3.04.0500(CDS-product:anaphase_promoting _complex_subunit_10-like_protein)". The record is from RNAcentral. Lineage: Eukaryota; Euglenozoa; Kinetoplastea; Trypanosomatida; Trypanosomatidae.
AAGCGGAGAGGGACACACGUGCGCGCUCAAGAGCGCCGUCUCUCCCGCUACCCGCGCCAACAACAACCAAGGGAAAAGAAGGCAUCAUCCACUCGGUCGUCUUCGCUGGACACGGCGGCAACGCGGUCGAUGCGCGGAGCGAAGGGACGGAGUGAAUCGCUGGAUUUUUGAUGCACGAGACGCAGGAAGGAGAAUAGACAACGAGCACAUGCCAUCUCGAGGAUGGAGUACAACGACGACGAGUACGGCCGCGAGAGCAGCGUGGAGGAGCUCGCGCAGUCACAGGAGAGUGAGCAGGUGGCCUCCGCCGCCUCUGCCUUGCCAGCGUCUUCAUCGUCGGACGCCUCUGCCAAGCCGUCUUUUCGAAUUCUAAGCACACCGCAGCUUGCGCAGUGGGUUCGGGUGCACAAUCAGAUGGACGUGGGCUGCUCCGGCAACACCGUCUGGACGGUGAGCAGCGCAAAGCACGGCAACGGUGUUCGCCACUUGAUGCGCCACCACGACCUCAACAACUUCUGGCAGUCGGACGGGGUGCUGCCACACGUGAUUCGCAUCCAGCUCGGCCAGCUUACCCCGGUCGAGGCCAUGGCGGUGUACGUGAACAGCGCCGUCGAUCAGAGCUACUCUCCGCGGGUGAUUCGGGUAAAGGCGGGCACGCACAGUGGAGACAUGACGGAGGUCGCCAAGGCGGACAUCGGCGCCGGUCAGGAGUGCGGUUGGGUGCUGAUAACGCUGCGCGAGAUGGCAGGAGACGACGGCGACGAUCUAGAAGGAGGCGGUGCCAACGAUGGCGGCGGUGGCGUGGCAGCGGGUGUGAAAGUACAGCACACACAGCAAGAAGUGCGUCCGCGCCAACGGGACGGCGGCGCACCGGCAGGGGGCGCCGCCUCGUCGUACUCGCCGCCCAUACCGUAUAGCGAGGUAGCCGCAGUGCUGGGACAUGGCAACCACGCGACCCCCUCAAGCGCGGGAGCGCAAACAUCCGCCGCGAUGCCGAUGAACCCACACAACACCAGCAACGCCGCCGACCGCUGGCUGUGGUGCACACUAAUUGACAUCUGCAUCUGCGAAAACCAGUUCAACGGACGUGACUGCCAUCUGCGAGGGAUUCGGCUCAUGGGGCCGCGCUACGAGGAGUUGGAGCGGGUGAGCAAUGCAGACGCGACGGACACGGUGACUUGCGCACGGCCGCUGCGGGGCGGUGAACCGCUGGAAGGCACGGCAGAUGAGCUGCAGCUGCGAUAGAAAUGGUGGUGGCGGAGCAGGGAAAGAGAGGGCAAAUGGGCGCGGCGGCCCAAGGCGGUGAGGUGGGAGGAGGGGAAGGGAGGCGUCUACGGAAGAGAGCCACCGAAGAAGUGCACAAGGGGGCCGCAGAGGAAGCGGCGCGGUAGUGACGCGCGUGCCUCGUCGAACGUAGGCAUGUGCAUGUGUCUUUCAUCCACGAGUAAACACACACACGAUGUGCUGCUCUCCCUCGAUCCCGCUCUCUCCUGCUCGCCAUUACCUCGGUCGUCCUUCGGUGGCGCCGCGCAACAAGCCAACGAAUGGGGGAAGCAGCAGGCAGUGUCUGAAGAAGGCGAAACACGACGACCCCAGUCUCGAGAACGAGGGCCAUGGUCGCUUAUACGGAUAGAGCGGCAUACACCUACGCGUACGCAGCACCGCUUGAGCGGUCUACGUUGCAGUCCCUGUCGUCUAUCCCUCCCUGUUUUUCUUUCUCUCUCUCUGGCGGCGUGCCGCUCGUGGAGAAGCAGCGAG